RNAcentral lists this ribosomal RNA (853 nucleotides) under uncultured archaeon. Its description in RNAcentral is "bacterial SSU rRNA". It matches the Rfam family "Archaeal small subunit ribosomal RNA", at positions 18 to 873 of the family's 1478-position model. The record is from RNAcentral.
CGGAGGCUACCGCUAUUGGAGUCCUUCUCCUAAGGGAUGCGAGUCGCGAGUCUUAGGGACUCGGCGUACCGCUCAGUAACACGUGGGUAACCUGCCCUAUGCUGGGGAAUAACCUCGGGAAACUGAGAAUAAUGCCCCAUAGUUCACCACGCCUGGAACGGUGGGUGGAUCAAAGCUCCGGCGGCAUAGGAUGGGCCUGCGGCGUAUCAGGUCGUAGGGGGUGUAAUGUACCCUCUAGCCAUCGACGCGUACGGGUGUUGGGAGACAUUGCCCGGAGAUGGAUUCUGAGACACGAAUCCAGACCCUACGGGGUGCAGCAGGCGCGAAAACUUGGCAAUGCGAGAAAUCGUGACCAGGGAACUCCAAGUGCAUCGGGUAAGACCGAUGCUUUUCUUGACUCUUCAACGGUCUUGGAAUAAGGGGUGGGUAAGGACGGUGCCAGCCGCCGCGGUAAUACCGGCGCCUCAAGUGGUAGUCGCUUUUAUUGGGCCUAAAACGUCCGUAGCCGGUUUGGUACAUUCGUGGGUAAAUCAAGGCGCUCAACGUCUUGAAUUCUGCGAGCACGGCCAGACUUGGGACCGGGUGAGGUGUGGGGUACUCUCAGGGUAGGGGUAAAAUCCUGUCAUCCUGAGAGGACCACCUGUUGCGAAGGCGCCACACUAGAACGGAUCCGACGGUCAGGGACGAAGCCUAGGGGCACGAACCGGAUUAGAUACCCGGGUAGUCCUAGGUGUAAACGCUGUGGACUUGAUGUUGGGAGUGCUCCGAGCACCCUCAGUGUCGAAGCGAAGGUGAUAAGUCCACUGCCUGGGGAGUACGGUCGCAAGGCUGAAACUUAAAGGAAUUGGCGGGG